AGUGAUGAAUUUUCAUAAUUAAGACAUAAUUAAUUAAGCCAUAUGAAUUUGCAAAAAGUAUUUCUCAUUAAUUAAUGUGGAAAUGGGAAGGCAAAAAGAUGGGCCUCGUCAUGUUGACACCACAAAACACAAGUCACCGUCAAGCUUCAGCUUCCACGAAGUCGUCCGUGCGUCCCUCCCUCCUACGGCUUGAGCGGACCCAAUGACUGAGUAGCACUGGGUCCAGUUGUCCAAACAGAAAGGAAAGAAACUAGAAGUGGCAGGAGCCUCGUCGGCAUCGUGUAUAUGUCUGCCAGAUAGCCAGCAAAUCCACCUCCACCACUAUCCUCCACAGCAUAUCUUCUCUCUUUCGUUUCCCCUCUUUAUUUUACCAUGCUCGGAUGAUCCGCUUGUUUGCCAAGACAAUUGUACGGUUCUGAUUUUAGUUUUUGGGUUUCUUCAGGAUGAUAAGGUCGUUUGCGUUUUGCUUUCAGGUUUUGGUUUACGUUUACUCAAAAUCCUCGUUUAAAUUGCUUCAGCUUCUUGGAUUCAAACCUACGAUAUUUUUUCGCCAGGUUUACUGUUGACUGUGAUUUUGUUUGUGAUUGUUUGGGAAUUUUGAUUACGCCAUAUUAAGGCUGUUUUGUAAUUAAAAUCGAAGCAAAGUAAUAAAAAUAGGCUGUGAAUUCCGGACGACCUUGGAUUUUGUGAUUUUCUAUGGAAUGGUCUAGAAAGAAGAGUGGUGGGCUAUAGUCUAAAGGAGUUGGCAUGGAAAAAGGAUAGGUGUGAUAGAUAAGUAGAGGUGGAAAUUAAUGUUUCUAAUGUGGAAGGUUGUGAAAUUCAACGGCAAUAUUUCUAAUGAAAUGAACGUUAUUGUUUGGAAUCUCUCCCUGUACCUUCCAUUUGUCCCUUUCGGCCAAAACCCUCUCAUCCAAAAAAUAAAAACAUGUUUCUGUGGAGUAUUGAGAUUGAGGGAAUAAUGGUGAAGGUGAAAUUGCUGCAUAUCAGAAAUAAAGGACAGUGAAUUUUCUACGUGUGUGAGUGAGUGUGUGUAACUAAACGAGAGAAGGAAGAUAUAUAUUAACAACUGUUUGGAGCUGUUGUGUGGGGAUAAUACGCGAAAGAAUCGAGGAUUUUGGAGUAGCUUGGACUGGUCAGUUGUACUAGGCAUCGAACAGAACUACUGAAUCGGGGAGCUUGGAUUGAUUUGGUGUCCUAGAUCAGAUAAGCGUUUGCUCUUACUUGGCUCUAACUUCAAUGACAAGAGGCCUUAUUUAACUCUGUUUAAUACAAAUGGCUUUGAUAAAUGGUGCAAGCUUGUAUCAUAAUUAGCUAUCAAUAAACACUCACUAGUUUUUGUUAGAUGAAGUUCAAGUGGCAGAAGUGUUACUGAUCAGUUGAAACAAGCACACUUGGGAUAUGAAUAACUUUUUUUCCUUGAUAUCAUAUGGAAAUGAUAUCGAUCAGAUGAUAAAAACAGCCAUAUUAUCUUCGAGAAACCCAAAAAUGACAAGAAAAACUUAAUGUAAGGAUAUCCAUCUCUGGUCUUGGCUAGUUCCUUUGAAUCUAUGUUGCUUGUUGUUUGUGUACUUGUGCUUUCAGUGCCUGCAAAACUUCUGCUACCUUCAUUAUCUACUUCUCAGAGCAUAAUAUAAGGCCUCCUAUUCUCGUGUUAUUUUUUUUGAUAGGUAAUAAGUAAUUUUAUUGAUAUAAGGAUGGGCAUAGCCCAGGUACACCUAUUCUCGUGUUAUUAAUUGCCUCUACAACACUCUUAAACCCUUAGAGGAGGUUCUUAUGCCAUGUAUUUUGUUAAUAAUCACGUUUGCUAGGUUGAUCCCACUUUCAAGUGCGGCACCUAUCAGUCGUACCACCAACCACGUUUAUGACUUAUUUUUAAGUUUGUGACCAUGUGGACCAUUUUAAAUUGGCUGAUGAUUUUUCAGGUAUUAUUUGGUGAUUCCUGUGGAGCACAUUCCAACUGUAAAAGACCUCCAAUGGAGAACUGAAGACUACUCCUUAGUAAGUCACAUGUUAGAGGUUAAGCAAAUGCCAUUGUGCCGAGAUGCACCUCAGAGCACAUGGUACAGGUAUUGUCUUUUGUGUAUGAAGAAUACAUUCAGUAAGCUCUUCUUUUAAUUAAAGAUAAAGGUUUCAGAAAUAUUGCAGAUCUGAAAACUUGGAUGUAUCAAUUUAUUUAUAUUUUUGUUUAAUUGUUUCUACUGUUUAUCUGUUGUUUCUUUGAUGUUGUUUUGUUCUACUAAUAUUUUGGUGGAAUUCAUAUUAUCGGUAGUAUUUAAUAUAAACACUGACCAGUGAUUGACGUAGAUGUCCAUAUAUUUGCUUGUAAUUUGGGCUACAUUAAUUAUCUGUGUUUGCAAGUUUUGAUUGUCUCAUUUUUAUCAUUAAUUAUACACAAUAUUUGGGGUCCAUGGAUUUGAAUAAGAGCAUGCAUGAAGAAUUAAUCUGGGAACAAGCAAGUGAGAGCACUACAAGAACAAGGACUUUUUCUGGUGACAAUUUGUCUUAAAAGACAUGAUAAGUCAGAAUACAUCAUACUUCUAAAUACCAUAUAAAUUUUGAAAAAUCAGUGGUUCUAACCCAACACAACACCUAGAGGGGGGUGAAUAGGUGUAAUUUAAUUUUACUACACUAUUUAAAAAUGUUGUCAAACAAGCAAUCUAUCAAUGAAACAAUUCACAUAAAAAUAAUCAAUACAACAAUUUGGUCACGAAGUGGAAACUUAUUUGAAGAACAUCUUCAAAGUCUAAAACCACUCUGAGUGUAAGUCACCACCUAAAAUCCACUAUAGAAAUUUAGUUUGUUACAAACAAUUUAGAAACACUCACAAGACCCUUGUAGUAGCUAAAUCUGGCUUGCAACAUCACAAGUGACCCACUCGAUCUCUGCACGCAUGCAGUUCUGGAACUCCGGCCUUUCUAUAGCUUUACCACAAGAACCCCACGAGAACCUCUCGAUCUUUGCUUCAUCGGCAGCUCUGAAAUCCCUUCUAGCCAACAAACGAGUCCACACCAAUGGACUCAAUAGUGUUUGAUCUUAAGUGCAAUAAGAUGGAGAUAUAUUUUCCCAAAGAAAAUGAGCUUCCGGCCUUUCUAUAGCUUUACCACAAGAACCCCACAAGAACCUCUCGAUCUUUGCUUCAUCGGCAGCUUUGAAAUCCCUUCUAGCCAACAAACGAGUCCACACCAAUGGACUCAAUAGUGUUUGAUCUUAAGUGCAAUAAGAUGGAGAUAUAUUUUCCCAAAGAAAAUGAGCUUUGGAUGUGGAAUGGUAUUUCUCUCAAGUGUUCUUAAAAGGCCCUCUAUUGCUGCUCUAUAUCUCCACAUGUUUGAACUAAGUCGAAGUUUCCUUUUAUAGCCACAAUGGAACAUGGUGCUGAAACCCUAGUCAAAGUCAUAUUUUUUAACAUUCGCUCAAGCACACAUUAUAUCCAAUAUUUGCUUGGGCCAUGAGUCGAAAGGGUGUCGAGCAAACUCUCUGUUUGGGUUACCACUCGAGUGCUAUGUCGAGUGGUUGAGUGAACUCUCUAUAUGAACGUCCACUUGAUCGCCAUGUCGAGCGAGUGUCGAGUGAACUCUCUAUAUGAGCUUCGCUCGAGGCAUGUUGAGCUGACUUCUAUCCCUUUUCACUUUAUCCCACUUAAAACUGUUACAACACAAUUUAACACAGGUUGUCACAUGAAUAUGCCAACACACUUAUUUUAUAGUAACAAAUAUUUGUGCCUUAUACAAUGAAUUGAAUGAGAAUAUAAUCAAAGCUAUAAUAUUUUGUACUUAAAGAACAUGCACAUUUAAACUGGAUCCAAGCACAGAGAGAAUCCUCUCCAUGUUAGUCAGCACAGUCUUUUAGAUCAGACUAAGCGUAAAUGUAUAAUUAGGAGUUAGUAAUCUUUAGCAUGCACUGUUGUAAUACUGACUUUGCCAUCCUUUGAUCAAUAUAAUUUGUUUAUUUAUCAAAAAAAGAUCUAGCAUGCACUGAAGUGUUUUCGAACAUUGAAGCUAUCAUGGAUUUGCCACCAGCAAGUAGCUUAUGUCGAAAGCACUUAAAAUAAUUACUCGAUAGACAAUAUUUAGAUUAACUUCUCACAUCAUAAAGAUGGUGCCAUAGGGGCGGCUGCUGGCAAUUAGCAACACUUAUUAGACAAGUAAUUCACUGCAAACAGUCCUAAAAUCGAACGGUAAGCUGAAUUGGAUUUUAUGUCAUUUUACAAACAUUUUGCCUAGGGCUUUGAAUGGGCUUGAUCAAUUUGAGUAUUGGUGUGCUCAUUUAUCUUUGAGUUGUCUUGAGCAAGCCUUUGAAUAAAUCUAUGGCCACUGGAGCUUGAGCAGAUUGAUUCUUUUUAAAAGUUGAGUCAAGCUGAGUGAAAGGUUGCUCAAGAUUGGUGUUUUUUAUAUGGAGACUAGUUGGAGGCUUCUCAAAUAGACCUUUAAAAUUUGAUUUUUUGAUGCGCUUAAACAACUUGACUUCUUUUACAGCCAUGGUUUUGCAUUUAAGUUUGUUUACGAGAAGGAGAUCCUCUCUCGUGACAGAUUUGGCUUUCAUCAGCCUCCUUUAAACUCUAUUAAUCAUGUACACCUUCACUGUUUGGCGCUACCCUACACACCGAGGUUAGUUUUGUGGUAUUUCUUUGGUGCUCUAUAUUAUUAAUCAGUUGACAUUGUUCUUUAAGGUUGCAAAAGUACCUUUCAUUCUUGACGAGCUUGAACAGAUGGAAAAGUAUAAAACUCUUGUCUCGGGGGUCGAUUGGAUUUCUUGAAGCUGAUAAGUUAUUGGAGAAGCUAAAGCAUUUGCCACCUGUUAUUUCAAAACUUUGAUUCACUCAUAAUUUGGGUCCAUUAUACAAAGCAAAGAUUUGGAUUUCGCCAAUAAGCUUCGGAGUGUUCUCUGAGGUUCGUUUAUAUGGAUGAGCAUGGAAAAGAUCGAGUUAGCAGUAUCGAUGAUGCCUACUAAUUUCCUAUCUUUCAUUGAGGAACAUCUAGACAGAGGCAUCUGUAUCUAAACAUUAGUAGGAUUUGUGGCCAUUGAUAUACAGUUUCUAGGAUAGGGAAGUGGCAUGUGUAGCCAGAUGUGUGUAAGAAAGAGAACAAGACAAUCUGCUUUUGGUUUUUGCCCAUCUCUCCUAAUCCUGCCGAGGUAUGGGAUGGAUGUUUGUGAAGUAGUUCCUUCACAAACCAGACUUUGUUCAGAGUUGCUUAUUGUUCUCAGUACAUUUCACAUUUUAGGCAUUGA
This is an RNA transcript of Carya illinoinensis, 5226 nucleotides long. It is a transcript of the gene named bifunctional adenosine 5'-phosphosulfate phosphorylase/adenylylsulfatase HINT4-like, with no coding region annotated. NCBI's taxonomy places the organism in Eukaryota, Viridiplantae, Streptophyta, Magnoliopsida, Fagales, Juglandaceae. The record is from RefSeq and is a predicted model, not a curated record. The transcript is spliced from 3 exons.